Molecule: long non-coding RNA, 1192 nt
Filed under: Salmo salar (Atlantic salmon)
Lineage: Eukaryota; Metazoa; Chordata; Actinopteri; Salmoniformes; Salmonidae
Description: lncRNA (ENSSSAG00000108377.1)
Source: RNAcentral
CUAGGUAUCCCCCCUUUCCCUGUCCAACUGACUAGGUAUCGCCCCUUUCCCUUUCCAACUGACUAGGUAUCCCCCCCUUUCCAACUGACUAGGUAUCCCCCCUUUCCCUUUCCAACUGAAUAGGUAUCCCCCCCUUUCCAACUGACUAGGUAUCCCCCCUUUCCAACUGACUAGGUAUCCCCCCUUUCCAACUGAAUAGGUAUCCCCCUUUCCAACUGACUAGAUAUCCCCCCUUUCCAACUGACUAGGUAUCCCCCGUUUCCAACUGACUAGGUAUCCCCCCCUUUCCAACUGACUAGGUAUCCCUCCUUUCCAACUGACUAGGUAUCCCCCCUUUCCAACUGACUAGUUAUCCCCCCUUUACAACUGACGAGGUAUCCCCCUUUCCCUUUCCAACUGACUAGGUAUCCCCCUUUCCCUUUCCAACUGACUAGGUAUCCCCCCUCUCCCUUUCCAACUGACUAGGUAUCCCGCCAUUCCAACUGACUAGGUAUCCCCCCUUUCCAACUGACUAGGUAUCCCCCCUUUCCAACUGACUAGGUAUCCCCCCUUUCCAACUGACUAGGUAUCCCCCCUUUCCAACUGACUAGGUAUCCCCCCCUUUCCAACUGACUAGGUAUCCCCCUUUCCCUGUCCAACUGACUAGGUAUCCCCCCUUUCCCUGUCCAACUGACUAGGUAUCCCCCCUUUCCCUGUCCAACUGACUAGGUAUCCCCCUUUUCCCUGUCCAACUGACUAGGUACCCCCCUUUCCCUGUCCAACUGACUAGGUACCCCCCUUUCCCUGUCCAACUGACUAGGUAUCCCCCCUUUCCAACUGACUUGGUAUCCCCCUUUCCAACUGACUUGUUAUCCCCCUUUCCAACUGACUAGGUAUCCUCCUUUCCAACUGACUAGGUACCCCCCUUUCCCUGUCCAACUGACUAGGUAUCCCCCCUUUCCCUGUCCAACUGACUAGGUAUCCCCCCUUUCCAACUGACUAGGUAUCCCCCUGUCCAACUGACUAGGUAUCCCCCCCUGUCCAACUGACUAGGUAUCCCCCCUUUCCCUGUCCAACUGACUAGGUAUCGCCCCUUUCCCUUUCCAACUGACUAGGUAUCCCCCCCUUUCCAACUGACUAGGUAUCCCCCCUUUCCCUUUCCAACUGAAUAGGUAUCCCCCCCUUUCCAACUGACUAGGUAUCCCCCUUUCCC